UCCCAGCACUUUGGGAGGCCGAAGUGGUGAAUCACCUGAGGUCAGGAGUUCUAGAUCAGCCGGGCCAACAAGGUGAAACCCUGUUUCUACCAAAAAAUACAAAAAUUCGCUGGGUGUGCUGGCACGCACAUAUAAUCCCAGCUACUUGGGAGGAAGGCUGAGGCAGGAGAAUCAGUUGAACCCAGGAGACGGAGGUUGCAGUGAGCCGAGAUCAUGCCACUGCACUCUGGCCUGGGUGACAUAUUAAGACUUCAUCUCAAGAGAAAAAAAGUGGGGAGAGAUAUGGUCAGAUUUGUGGUUUGUAAAAAUGGCUGUGGCAGUCUGUAGGGAGGUAGGUGGGAGGUUGGUGGCAGGACUAUCAGUUCCCCAGCCAGGCUGUUAAGGCCCCUGUGGGCAGUGACAACAUGUCUUUUCCUCUGGAAUUUUCCAUAACACCCAGCAGGGAUGGGACAUGCAGCUGGUGCUCAACAAAUGUCUGCUGUAUGAAACACAAGCGUGCCCUGAGUCGGUGGAUUUCACAGCCCUCAGAGCCUGCCCUCCCCCAGCACUGUCCAUGGUACUAACACACACCAUUGCAAUCCCAGUGGGCUCCCUGGUGGCAGCCUACGGGGUGUGUGUGUGUGUGUGUGUGUGUGUGUGUGUGUGUGUCUGUGUGUCUGUGUGUCUGUGAAGUUGCGUGGGGAAGGGGACCGUCAGUGCCUGUGUCUUGUGAUCAAGACAGGGUCUCAGCUGUUCCUGUCUCAGAAAGGCUGCCCAGGUGCCCAUGUGUCUGGAGGGCAGAUCCCCACUUCAUCUGGCCAAGCUUUAGCACAUGGAUUUGAGGCAGAAAUUGAAGCCAGACACAAAGAAUGGGGCCUGAGUUGGGAAGUUUUGGAUACCACACUUCUGAGUCUGCAUCUAUAGAAAGAGCGUGACAAGGCCACAUUUGUGUUCCAGGAAGAUCACUCUGGUGGUAGCAGGGAGGACAGAUAGGAAAGGAGAGACGGGAGUCUCUGAGCCCCACGUGAGCCCCCAGUGCCACACAACAGGACUUUGGAGAAAGAGGAAAUGGGAUGGGGGUGGGGUAGAAUAACCGGGCAGGCCUUGCUGGAAGUGGUAGGACUUAAGGGGGCUCUUGAAGGAUUCAUAGAGGGAUAGGGGUAUGUCGGGCAGGGUGAACAGCGUGGGCAAAGUAGAGAGGUUGGAACCAUUGGUAGCUAAGAAAGAGUGGGGAGACUCUUGCCUUUCUGUGCUUUGUCCUCCCCACCUCCUUUCUGUGGACCUUUUGAGCAGGGAGGGGGCGUGCUGUGAGACUGAGCUCAGCUGCAUCUCUGGGUGUCUCUGGCUGAGGGAGGGGGGAGGCUGGGUGCAGCUUCGAAAGGUCCUUCCAUUGUGCGUGAGGCCCAGCCAGGACAGCGGAGGCGGGUGCACAGAGCCCUUUGUCUGCCGAGUCACCCACCAAGGGCUCUGGCGGUCUCCACAGUCCUCACUGACCUUACACUCAAGGCCACAGAGACAGGUUGUUCUGCCUUGGCUGGCUCUGAUGUCAUCGCCGAGGGAGGGGACGGGGCAGGGGGCGGACAGUGGUGGCCUUCAAGGCUGUCCAAGGGCUGACAAAUUGCCUCUUGCCCUUGAGGUACAACGAAUCACCAAUUCAUUAAAUUCUUUAACACCAUGAUCUAUAAAAUGAUGGAACCUUCCAGUACCUGAGAAUUCUAGAAUAAUGGAAUCUUUCUAAGAUUGUGGAAUCUUUCAUAACAGACUCUGUGGGAAUCAGAAUUCUAUUCUACAGAAUAACAGAAUCUUAAAACCCACAGACUCUUUUAAUAUCUUCCUUCUGGUGUGGUGAGAAUAAAAUGAAAUACUACAUGGAGGGCGGGUGCAGUGGCUCAUGCCUGUAAUCUCAGCACCUUGGGAGGCCAAGGCAGGAGGAUCCUGAGGUCAAGAGAUCAAGACCAUCCUGGCCAACAUGGUGAAACCUCUUCUCUACUAAAAAUACAAAAAAUUAGCUGGGCGUGGUGGCGUGCACCUGUAGUCUGAGCUACUCGGGAGGCUGAGGCAGGAGAAGUGCUUGAACCUGCGAGGCAGAGCUUGCAGUGAGCUGAGAUUGUGCCACUGCACUCUAGCCUGGUGAAAGAGUGAGACUCCGUGUCAAAAAAAAAAAAAAAAAAAAAAA
Macaca fascicularis (crab-eating macaque) is the source of this 2155-nucleotide long non-coding RNA. The record is from Ensembl. Lineage: Eukaryota; Metazoa; Chordata; Mammalia; Primates; Cercopithecidae.